CUGUGGAGUUCCUAACAGAACUGGCUUGCUGAUCCUGAAAGCACCAAAAAAUGCUAUCAAGAAUGCCUCCCGGAACAAGGCCACCUCCUGUUCACUAUAACAUAUGGCACCAAGGAUCUGCACGAGAUCCCCGAGCAUGUAAACUGUGAUGGGAUGACAGGAAUCCUUCCUGGGGCCACUGGUACGCGACCACCCUGCCAAAAACCUUCGAACUAAAAAAACACUGCAAGGAUCCAGAUAACCAUUUAGCCUACUGACGAAUGUAAUGGCAGAAAGGUGAUACGAGAUUGUGGAAGAUGCCAGUUGACAGGUUGCCUGUGACAGCAUGUACCGCACCACCUGUUCCUCUGUAAUGAGCCAUAUUGUUGACCAGCCUUCCUGAUCCUGAAAUUGUAUGAAAUCAUUAAAACUUCUUUCAUAGCUCUGCCACGUGUGUGGAGCAACUGAUCUCCGGACCACACUGACAACCAUCUUAUGCCAGGGUUCCAUAGCACCAGCGUCAUCUGCCUGGGUUCCCGGCUGGCUCCUGGUGCCAGCUCCAGAAGUCUGUGGAGCUGAAAAUGAGAUAAGGUGUCUGCUACGCCAUUAUCAACCACAGAGAAGUUGUGAAGUAACGUAUAUUCCCUGGAGCCUUCUCAGGGCCAAGCCUCAGUUCUUUUUCUACACCGAGUCAAGUGAGACAUUUAUGCUAAGAGCAAAGCUACAACAGAGGAAGCCACAUUAGAUGGAUAACUGCCCCAUGGGUUACUCACCUUCUCACAAGCAAGCUCUAUAAAGGAGAAAAUUAUGAUGUGGUCUCCCCCACCAGAAGCAAA
This is a long non-coding RNA of Mauremys reevesii (Reeves's turtle), 815 nucleotides long. RefSeq lists it as uncharacterized. The transcript is spliced from 4 exons. The record is from RefSeq and is a predicted model, not a curated record. Lineage: Eukaryota; Metazoa; Chordata; Testudines; Geoemydidae.